RNAcentral lists this ribosomal RNA (595 nucleotides) under Vibrio sp. M84. Its description in RNAcentral is "bacterial SSU rRNA". It matches the Rfam family "Bacterial small subunit ribosomal RNA", at positions 77 to 671 of the family's 1533-position model. The record is from RNAcentral. Lineage: Bacteria; Pseudomonadati; Pseudomonadota; Gammaproteobacteria; Vibrionales; Vibrionaceae.
CGAUAACGGCGUCGAGCGGCGGACGGGUGAGUAAUGCCUAGGAAAUUGCCCUGAUGUGGGGGAUAACCAUUGGAAACGAUGGCUAAUACCGCAUGAUGCCUACGGGCCAAAGAGGGGGACCUUCGGGCCUCUCGCGUCAGGAUAUGCCUAGGUGGGAUUAGCUAGUUGGUGAGGUAAGGGCUCACCAAGGCGACGAUCCCUAGCUGGUCUGAGAGGAUGAUCAGCCACACUGGAACUGAGACACGGUCCAGACUCCUACGGGAGGCAGCAGUGGGGAAUAUUGCACAAUGGGCGCAAGCCUGAUGCAGCCAUGCCGCGUGUGUGAAGAAGGCCUUCGGGUUGUAAAGCACUUUCAGUCGUGAGGAAGGCGGCGUCGUUAAUAGCGGCGUUGUUUGACGUUAGCGACAGAAGAAGCACCGGCUAACUCCGUGCCAGCAGCCGCGGUAAUACGGAGGGUGCGAGCGUUAAUCGGAAUUACUGGGCGUAAAGCGCAUGCAGGUGGUUUGUUAAGUCAGAUGUGAAAGCCCGGGGCUCAACCUCGGAAUAGCAUUUGAAACUGGCAGACUAGAGUACUGUAGAGGGGGGUAGAAUUUCA